Molecule: ribosomal RNA, 650 nt
Filed under: Funneliformis sp.
Lineage: Eukaryota; Fungi; Glomeromycota; Glomeromycetes; Glomerales; Glomeraceae
Description: SSU rRNA
Rfam family: Eukaryotic small subunit ribosomal RNA
Source: RNAcentral
UAGUGACAAUAAAUAACAAUACAGGGUUCUUUUGGAACUUGUAAUUGGAAUGAGUACAAUUUUAAUCUCUUAACGAGGAACAAUUGGAGGGCAAGUCUGGUGCCAGCAGCCGCGGUAAUUCCAGCUCCAAUAGCGUAUAUUAAAGUUGUUGCAGUUAAAAAGCUCGUAGUUGAAUUUCGGGAUCAAUAUUUCGGUCAUGCCGUUGGUAUGCACUGUUAUCAUUGAUUUCUCACCUUCUAAAGAACCGUAAUGCCAUUAAUUUGGUGUUACGGGGAAUUAGGACUGUUACCUUGAAAAAAUUAGAGUGUUUAAAGCAGGCUCACGCUUGAAUACAUUAGCAUGGAAUAAUGAAAUAGGACAUCCGAUUCUAUUUUGUUGGUUUCUAGGAUCGAUGUAAUGAUUAAUAGGGAUAGUUGGGGGCAUUAGUAUUCAAUUGUCAGAGGUGAAAUUCUUGGAUUUAUUGAAGACUAACUACUGCGAAAGCAUUUGCCAAGGAUGUUUCAUUAAUCAAGAACGAAAGUUAGGGGAUCGAAGACGAUCAGAUACCGUCGUAGUCUUAAACUAUGCCGACUAGGGAUCGGAUGAUGUUAAUUUUUUACAAGGUAAUGGUCCUGGUUCCCCGACACACCCAGCGAAGGGCAUGCGGCAAA